GACGAACGCUGGCGGCGUGCUUAACACAUGCAAGUCGAGCGGUAAGGCCCUUUCGGGGGUACACGAGCGGCGAACGGGUGAGUAACACGUGGGUGACCUGCCCUUAGCUCUGGGAUAAGCCUGGGAAACUGGGUCUAACACCGGAUAUGACUCCAUGACGCAUGUUGUGGGGUGGAAAGCCUUGUGCGGCUAGGGAUGGGCCCGCGGCCUAUCAGCUUGUUGGUGGGGUGAUGGCCUACCAAGGCGACGACGGGUAGCCGGCCUGAGAGGGCGACCGGCCACACUGGGACUGAGACACGGCCCAGACUCCUACGGGAGGCAGCAGUGGGGAAUCUUGCGCAAUGGGCGAAAGCCUGACGCAGCGACGCCGCGUGAGGGAUGACGGCC
RNAcentral lists this ribosomal RNA (387 nucleotides) under uncultured bacterium. RNAcentral describes it as "bacterial SSU rRNA". It matches the Rfam family "Bacterial small subunit ribosomal RNA", at positions 28 to 416 of the family's 1533-position model. The record is from RNAcentral.